GUCGCUACUACCGAUUGAAUGGCUCAGUGAGGCCUUGGGACUGGCUCAGGAGGGUUGGCAACGACCCCCCAGAGCCGGAAACUUGGUCAAACUCGGUCAUUUAGAGGAAGUAAAAGUCGUAACAAGGUUUCU
RNAcentral lists this ribosomal RNA (132 nucleotides) under uncultured Penicillium. RNAcentral describes it as "partial small subunit ribosomal RNA". It matches the Rfam family "Eukaryotic small subunit ribosomal RNA", at positions 1675 to 1804 of the family's 1831-position model. The record is from RNAcentral. Lineage: Eukaryota; Fungi; Ascomycota; Eurotiomycetes; Eurotiales; Aspergillaceae.